AUUGAACGCUGGCGGAAUGCUUUACACAUGCAAGUCGAGCGGCAGCGCGGGGCAACCUGGCGGCGAGCGGCGAACGGGUGAGUAACACAUCGGAACGUGCCCUAUCGUGGGGGAUAACGAAUCGAAAGAUUCGCUAAUACCGCAUACGACCUGAGGGUGAAAGCGGGGGAUCGCAAGACCUCGCGCGAUUGGAGCGGCCGAUGUCGGAUUAGCUAGUUGGUGAGGUAAAGGCUCACCAAGGCGACGAUCCGUAGCUGGUCUGAGAGGACGACCAGCCACACUGGGACUGAGACACGGCCCAGACUCCUACGGGAGGCAGCAGUGGGGAAUUUUGGACAAUGGGGGCAACCCUGAUCCAGCCAUUCCGCGUGAGUGAAGAAGGCCUUCGGGUUGUAAAGCUCUUUCGGCAGGAACGAAACGGUGGAGGCUAAUACCUUUCAUCAAUGACGGUACCUGAAGAAGAAGCACCGGCUAACUACGUGCCAGCAGCCGCGGUAAUACGUAGGGUGCGAGCGUUAAUCGGAAUUACUGGGCGUAAAGCGUGCGCAGGCGGCUUUGUAAGACAGGUGUGAAAUCCCCGGGCUUAACCUGGGAACUGCGCUUGUGACUGCAAGGCUUGAGUGUGGCAGAGGGGGGUGGAAUUCCACGUGUAGCAGUGAAAUGCGUAGAGAUGUGGAGGAACACCGAUGGCGAAGGCAGCCCCCUGGGUCAACACUGACGCUCAUGCACGAAAGCGUGGGUAGCAAACAGGAUUAGAUACCCUGGUAGUCCACGCCCUAAACGAUGCCAACUAGGUGUUGGGGAAGGAGACUUCCUUAGUACCGUAGCUAACGCGUGAAGUUGGCCGCCUGGGGAGUACGGUCGCAAGAUUAA
This 873-nucleotide ribosomal RNA is filed under the name uncultured beta proteobacterium. RNAcentral's name for it is "bacterial SSU rRNA". It matches the Rfam family "Bacterial small subunit ribosomal RNA", at positions 28 to 897 of the family's 1533-position model. Lineage: Bacteria; Pseudomonadati; Pseudomonadota; Betaproteobacteria. The record is from RNAcentral.